This 681-nucleotide ribosomal RNA is filed under the name Pseudomonas sp. RNAcentral describes it as "bacterial SSU rRNA". It matches the Rfam family "Bacterial small subunit ribosomal RNA", at positions 78 to 755 of the family's 1533-position model. The record is from RNAcentral. Lineage: Bacteria; Pseudomonadati; Pseudomonadota; Gammaproteobacteria; Pseudomonadales; Pseudomonadaceae.
GCUUGCUUCUCUUGAGAGCGGCGGACGGGUGAGUAAUGCCUAGGAAUCUGCCUGGUAGUGGGGGAUAACGUUCGGAAACGGACGCUAAUACCGCAUACGUCCUACGGGAGAAAGCAGGGGACCUUCGGGCCUUGCGCUAUCAGAUGAGCCUAGGUCGGAUUAGCUAGUUGGUGAGGUAAUGGCUCACCAAGGCGACGAUCCGUAACUGGUCUGAGAGGAUGAUCAGUCACACUGGAACUGAGACACGGUCCAGACUCCUACGGGAGGCAGCAGUGGGGAAUAUUGGACAAUGGGCGAAAGCCUGAUCCAGCCAUGCCGCGUGUGUGAAGAAGGUCUUCGGAUUGUAAAGCACUUUAAGUUGGGAGGAAGGGCAUUAACCUAAUACGUUAGUGUUUUGACGUUACCGACAGAAUAAGCACCGGCUAACUCUGUGCCAGCAGCCGCGGUAAUACAGAGGGUGCAAGCGUUAAUCGGAAUUACUGGGCGUAAAGCGCGCGUAGGUGGUUUGUUAAGUUGGAUGUGAAAUCCCCGGGCUCAACCUGGGAACUGCAUUCAAAACUGACUGACUAGAGUAUGGUAGAGGGUGGUGGAAUUUCCUGUGUAGCGGUGAAAUGCGUAGAUAUAGGAAGGAACACCAGUGGCGAAGGCGACCACCUGGACUAAUACUGACACUGAGGUGCG